UCUCUCCUGCCACUAGGUGGAGCUCACAUCCUCACUGCCUGUGUAGUCUUUCCACUUCUCAGUCAGACCCAAUCUGAAGCAAAAGGAGGGGCCUAUACAUCCUCAGGAAGAGGGGCAUUUGCAUGGAGCCAGCCUGUAUUUAGACUCCCCGGACAGAUAAGAAGGGGAGCCCAGCUACAAUCAGUCCAUUGGAGUCAGGAAGCGGGACCUGUGUGUCUUCACCAUGACUUCGGCUCCACUAUUCCUCAUCUUCCUUUGUCACUUAACAAGGUCAUAUGCCCAGUACGUGCUAACUCAGCCAAACUCUGUGUCAGGGAAUCUUGGGAGCACAGUCACUAUCACCUGCCUGCGCAGCAGUGGUAGCAUAGGAAACUACUAUGUGUACUGGUACCAGCAGCACUUUGGAAGUUCACCCACAGCUGUCAUCUAUGAGGAUGAUAAAAGACCAUCUGGGGUUCCUGAUCGGUUCUUGGGCUCCAUUGACAGCUCCUCCAACUCAGCCUCGCUGACCAUCACUGAUCUGCAGAUUGAAGAUGAGGCUGACUACUACUGUCAGUCUUCUAGUCACAGUGAUGAGAAUCAUGGGGAAGUAAGACAAAAACUCCCCAGAGCAGCAGCUGUGAAAUCAUUUGUGAAAUGGACUAUGUUUUUUCAUGUCUCCUUAAAAAAAGUACUGCUUUUAGGUUGCCAAGUUAUAAUUUCCUCUAGGUUCAUUGCAAGAGUCUACUUUUUCCUCCCUCAUAUGGAUGUCUGACCUCUUUACAUUUUUAGGGUCAGUCCAUGGAGUACAAAAUGUUGAAGAAAGGAAUUUUGGAGGGCAACACUACUGACAUUUCGUGUCAGAGCCUUCCUUAUAUGUGUGAUGUGUUUAGCAUCAUAUCUGAUCAUGAGUCAUUGCACGUUUUCAUGUUUUCCCUCCAUUAUGACAUCACUAAUUCUCUGUAUUGCCAAAUGUAUCUGUAAAAUGGGAAGCACACUUGGGCAAAGCCACUGCUUCAAGAAGUUGUUCUAAACUAUUAAGGAGGCCCUAGAUUAGACUCUCACUUCCCUAAGGCAUAAGGAUGAGGUUUUACUCCCUGAGAGUCUGUCCCCAGUUGCUAAGCAAAACAAUAGCAUAUUCUUAUGGGGACAAAGCCUAGGUUAUCCAACUCUAUAGAAGCUCCAAUCAAGGUCUAUAAUGGAAUGUUAAGGGAAGACCUAGUGCACACGUAAAUGUUAAAAUCUACACACAGUGGAUAUGCAAAUGUAAUGGAGCUCUCCCAUUCUGUGAACUGUCCUUCCUCUGGAAAGCUCUGAAGAGCAUGAAAGGUGAUAAUGAAAGGCGACAAAGCAAGCUCAGUGAAGGAGCCCAAGAAAACCACAAAUACUAUAUUAAUAAUAAUUUUAUCACUGGGCGGUGGUGGCUCACGCCUUUAAUCCCAGCACUUGGGAGGCAGAAGCAGGUGGAUCUCUGUGAGUUCAAGCUAGCCUGGUCUACAGA
Non-coding RNA from Peromyscus maniculatus bairdii (prairie deer mouse), 1480 nucleotides. NCBI's taxonomy places the organism in Eukaryota, Metazoa, Chordata, Mammalia, Rodentia, Cricetidae. The record is from the annotation of a RefSeq genome assembly.